UUCGUUAGCGUAUUGCUUCAGAUCUGCUGUACAACAAUAUUGCAGUUUGUGUAUUGUCUUCUGUUUUAUUGUCUGUACACAUGUCUGUUUUUCGUGUUUUGUCUUCUGUGUACAAAUGGUAUUGUUGUCAUUCAUGUAUUUCUUGUUCUGUAUAAAGGUACUAUUGUUCGUGUUUUGUCUUCUGGUGUUCACCUGUCCUAUUGUUUUCUGUUGUACAACGGUAUUGUUGCUCAUAUAUUGUCUUUUGUCCUGCUGUACAACCGUAUUAUUGUUCAUAUUUUUUUUUUACCCUGAUGUUCAUCUGGCUACCUUAUUUUCGUUGUGUACUAUCAUCUGCUGUUCACCUGUCUGACACAGUUAAACUCAGGUGUUGUUGUCGUUCGUAUAUGGUCCCAAGCUGCACACCCAUCUUGUUGAUCCUAUCCUUGUGUUUUUUUCGCGUUUUGUCCUCUGCUUUACUCAUAACUUGUUUUGCUGUUUUUAAUGCUCUUCUGUCCAGUGUAUACUGAGGUACUUGAAAGGUACUCCUUGUAGCACUAAUACUGUGACUUUG
Molecule: long non-coding RNA, 553 nt
Filed under: Mytilus galloprovincialis (Mediterranean mussel)
Lineage: Eukaryota; Metazoa; Mollusca; Bivalvia; Mytilida; Mytilidae
Source: RNAcentral